GGCUGUCGCUAUAGGAUGGGCCCGCGGCGCAUUAGCUAGUUGGUGAGGUAACGGCUCACCAAGGCAACGAUGCGUAGCCGACCUGAGAGGGUGAUCGGCCACACUGGGACUGAGACACGGCCCAGACUCCUACGGGAGGCAGCAGUAGGGAAUCUUCCACAAUGGGCGAAAGCCUGAUGGAGCAACGCCGCGUGAGUGAAGAAGGAUUUCGGUUCGUAAAACUCUGUUGUAAGGGAAGAACAAGUACAGUAGUAACUGGCUGUACCUUGACGGUACCUUAUUAGAAAGCCACGGCUAACU
This 300-nucleotide ribosomal RNA is filed under the name Pasteuriaceae bacterium CL5.93. Its description in RNAcentral is "bacterial SSU rRNA". It matches the Rfam family "Bacterial small subunit ribosomal RNA", at positions 210 to 502 of the family's 1533-position model. The record is from RNAcentral. Lineage: Bacteria; Bacillati; Bacillota; Bacilli; Caryophanales; Pasteuriaceae.